UACGUAGGUCCCGAGCGUUGUCCGGAUUUAUUGGGCGUAAAGCGAGCGCAGGUGGUUUAUUAAGUCUGGUGUAAAAGGCAGUGGCUCAACCAUUGUAUGCAUUGGAAACUGGUAGACUUGAGUGCAGGAGAAGAGAGUGGAAUUCCAUGUGUAGCGGUGAAAUGCGUAGAUAUAUGGAGGAACACCGGUGGCGAAAGCGGCUCUCUGGCCUGUAACUGACACUGAGGCUCGAAAGCGUGGGGAGCAAACAGG
Molecule: ribosomal RNA, 252 nt
Filed under: uncultured bacterium
Lineage: Bacteria
Also listed under: 1 other name
Description: partial 16S ribosomal RNA
Rfam family: Bacterial small subunit ribosomal RNA
Source: RNAcentral